This 71-nucleotide transfer RNA is filed under the name Toxocara canis (dog roundworm). It matches the Rfam family "tRNA". From Rfam's summary of the family: Transfer RNA (tRNA) molecules are approximately 80 nucleotides in length. Their secondary structure includes four short double-helical elements and three loops (D, anti-codon, and T loops). Further hydrogen bonds mediate the characteristic L-shaped molecular structure. tRNAs have two regions of fundamental functional importance: the anti-codon, which is responsible for specific mRNA codon recognition, and the 3' end, to which the tRNAs corresponding amino acid is attached (by aminoacyl-tRNA synthetases). tRNAs cope with the degeneracy of the genetic code in two manners: having more than one tRNA (with a specific anti-codon) for a particular amino acid; and 'wobble' base-pairing, i.e. permitting non-standard base-pairing at the 3rd anti-codon position. Lineage: Eukaryota; Metazoa; Nematoda; Chromadorea; Rhabditida; Toxocaridae. The record is from Rfam by way of RNAcentral.
GCGGCAAUAGCUCAUUGGUAGAGUCCACGCUUCGCGAGCGGGAUACCCGGGUUCGAUUCCCGGCUGCUUCC